CUGCGCCCGGGACGAGGAUGAUCUAGGGUUUAUCGUGGAGCUGGGGAUGUGAACCAGCAUAAGAUUAUGAAUAUGGAAAUGAAGCUAGUCAUAGAGGCCGAAUUUUAGUCCUCGGCGGUGUUCACGUGGGGGUCUUUCCGUUCAAUGUUUGUGCGUCUAAAAACUUCCGCUAUAGAUAUUCUAAAUCCCGAUUUUUAUCCAAUUUUCUGAAUUUUAGUAAUAUAGAAGUCUUUGGCGAUGAUUUUAUACUUAUCCGCGCUUCCGAGGUUUAACGAUGAAGCAAACUUAAAAUUAAUGGUUGAAUUUCUUAAUAUGAGCCA
Molecule: long non-coding RNA, 320 nt
Organism: Cucurbita maxima (winter squash)
Lineage: Eukaryota; Viridiplantae; Streptophyta; Magnoliopsida; Cucurbitales; Cucurbitaceae
Exons: 2
Source: RefSeq, a predicted model, not a curated record